UACGAAGGGGACUAGCGUUGUUCGGAAUCACUGGGCGUAAAGCGCACGUAGGCGGAUGUGUCAGUCAGGGGUGAAAUCCCGGGGCUCAACCUCGGAACUGCCUUUGAUAUAGCACGUCUCGAGUCCGGAAGAGGUGGGUGGAAUUCCUAGUGUAGAGGUGAAAUUCGUAGAUAUUAGGAAGAACACCGGUGGCGAAGGCGGCCCACUGGUCCGGUACUGACGCUGAGGUGCGAAAGCGUGGGGAGCAAACAGG
RNAcentral lists this ribosomal RNA (253 nucleotides) under uncultured bacterium. RNAcentral's name for it is "partial 16S ribosomal RNA". It matches the Rfam family "Bacterial small subunit ribosomal RNA", at positions 524 to 776 of the family's 1533-position model. The record is from RNAcentral.